Molecule: ribosomal RNA, 774 nt
Filed under: uncultured Neocallimastigales
Lineage: Eukaryota; Fungi; Neocallimastigomycota; Neocallimastigomycetes; Neocallimastigales
Description: partial large subunit ribosomal RNA
Rfam family: Eukaryotic large subunit ribosomal RNA
Source: RNAcentral
GAGACUCUGUGCGCGUGCAUAUCAAUAAGCGGAGGAAAAGAAACUAACAAGGAUUCCCCUAGUAACGGCGAGUGAAGCGGGAAGAGCUCAAAUUUGAAAUCUUCAAGGGUUUCCCUUGACGAAUUGUAGUUUAAAGAAGUGUUUUCUGUUAGAGAGGUGGUAAAAGUUCGUUGGAAUAGGACAUCAUAGAGGGUGAGAAUCCCGUAUUUGAUCACUUUCUACUAACGUUGUGAUACACUUUCAAAGAGUCGGAUUGUUUGGGAAUGCAGUCCAAAAUGGGUGGUAAAUUUCAUCUAAAGCUAAAUAUUGGCGAGAGACCGAUAGCGAACAAGUACCGUGAGGGAAAGAUGAAAAGAACUUUGAAAAGAGAGUUAAACGGUACGUGAAAUUGUCAAAAGGGAAGCGUUUGACACCAGUGUUGUUUUUCCGAAAAUCAAUUAUGAAUGGCUUGAUUUUAAGUUUCAUGACCUUAAAAGCUUGUUUCUUAUUUUUCAUGUCUUUCGUAAUGCACUUUUCGGUUAACAAGUCAACAUCAAUUUCUUUUGUUGUAAAAGGUUAAGAGGAAGGUGGCUUUACUUUCGGGUAAAGUGUUUAUAGCCUUUUAACUCUGCAAUCGGAGAGAUUGAGGUCUGCAGCGUAGAUCCUUCGGGGUUAGAUACGUUUGUGCUAAGUUAUAGCUUUUCAUAGACAACUUGUUGACUAUGUUAAGUCUUGUAAUUUACUCGCAGAUGCUAUUUUACCUACGCUUAGGAUGUUGAACUCUAUCACACACAG